Cucurbita moschata (crookneck pumpkin) is the source of this 810-nucleotide long non-coding RNA. RefSeq lists it as uncharacterized. The transcript is spliced from 3 exons. The record is from RefSeq and is a predicted model, not a curated record. NCBI's taxonomy places the organism in Eukaryota, Viridiplantae, Streptophyta, Magnoliopsida, Cucurbitales, Cucurbitaceae.
GAGAUUUUGAGCCACGUGUAAUCUCUGUGGGAGAGGGUAGAGGAGACGAAGACUUCUACAGUUGCUGCUGCUCUGGUCUUUUUUUCAUUUUCUGCUUUAUUAUUAACAAUGGAGGUUCCUUCAUCACGAAGCCAAUUCUCUCUCUCUUUCUCUCUCUAGACUCAUCGCUUCCGUAUUCUCCUCUUCUUUCUCGGAUUCCGGUGAUCCUCUUCGCCGUGAUUUCUCGUCGGAACUCGAGUCUGCUCGCAGUCCGGCAGUUUUUUCCCAUUUCGAAGUAGUUCCCGCCGCCGCGCGCGUCUGACUCCGGUGGAUAAACCACCAUGGCUGACAAAGAAGUUGCGGUUCCAAAAUUUGGUGAAUGGAACGACAGGGACGCCACACCGCCAGACAACUACACAGCUAUUUUCACCAAGGUGCGGGAAGAGAGACAAGACCAGGGAGCAAGGACGCCGACGCUGCCACAGAACAGUAACAUCCCAGAUAACCAAAAUAAUGAACAAAAUCAGAAGAAAUGCUGUUGUUUUCCAUGGCCAAGCAAAUGAUAUUGUUCUUUGCAUUUUCCACGUGAGAUUACUUAGAUUGCAUGAACAUGUGAGAAUAAUGUAGAUUAUUUCAUGGAUCUGGCUGCAGCUCACCUCCUUCAAUGCCAUCUGAUUGAAAGUGUUUGUCUGUGGCCAAAGUUGUAAGCAAAGACAAAAUUUGAUUGUGUUGUUUGGGGUUUACAAUUUUUUCUUAUUUCGAGAUUCAUCUGUUGGAUAUCUAUUCUUCAUUUUAAUAACUGUACUGUGAUUUUGGUGUUAUGUGUUCUUA